AGAGUUUGAUCCUGGCUCAGGACGAACGCUGGCGGCGUGCCUAAUACAUGCAAGUCGAACGCUUCUUUUUCCACCGGAGCUUGUUCCACCGGAAAAAGAGGAGUGGCGAACGGGUGAGUAACACGUGGGUAACCUGCCCAUCAGAAGGGGAUAACACUUGGAAACAGGUGCUAAUACCGUAUAACAAUCAAAACCGCAUGGUUUUGAUUUGAAAGGCGCUUUCGGGUGUCGCUGAUGGAUGGACCCGCGGUGCAUUAGCUAGUUGGUGAGGUAACGGCUCACCAAGGCCACGAUGCAUAGCCGACCUGAGAGGGUGAUCGGCCACAUUGGGACUGAGACACGGCCCAAACUCCUACGGGAGGCAGCAGUAGGGAAUCUUCGGCAAUGGACGAAAGUCUGACCGAGCAACGCCGCGUGAGUGAAGAAGGUUUUCGGAUCGUAAAACUCUGUUGUUAGAGAAGAACAAGGAUGAGAGUAACUGUUAUUCCCUUGACGGU
RNAcentral lists this ribosomal RNA (497 nucleotides) under Enterococcus faecium. RNAcentral's name for it is "bacterial SSU rRNA". It matches the Rfam family "Bacterial small subunit ribosomal RNA", at positions 8 to 476 of the family's 1533-position model. Lineage: Bacteria; Bacillati; Bacillota; Bacilli; Lactobacillales; Enterococcaceae. The record is from RNAcentral.